RNAcentral lists this ribosomal RNA (253 nucleotides) under uncultured bacterium. Its description in RNAcentral is "partial 16S ribosomal RNA". It matches the Rfam family "Bacterial small subunit ribosomal RNA", at positions 524 to 776 of the family's 1533-position model. The record is from RNAcentral.
UACGUAGGGGGCAAGCGUUGUCCGGAUUUAUUGGGCGUAAAGAGCGUGUAGGCGGCCAGAUAGGUCUGUUGUGAAAACUCGAGGCUCAACCUCGAGACGCCGAUGGAAACCAUCUGGCUAGAGUCCGGAAGAGGAGAGUGGAAUUCCUGGUGUAGAGGUGAAAUUCGUAGAUAUCAGGAGGAACACCAGUGGCGAAGGCGGCUUCCUGGACACUAACUGACGCUGAGACGCGAAAGCGUGGGGAGCAAACAGG